GACGAACGCUGGCGGCGUGCUUAACACAUGCAAGUCGAACGGAAAGGCCUGCUUUCCCUUGUGGAUUGCGGGUACUCGAGUGGCGAACGGGUGAGUAACACGUGAGUGAUCUGCCCCCGACUUGGGUAUAAGCCUGGGAAACUGGGUCUAAUUCCCGAUAGGACUGCAGGGUGGUGCCUGUGGUGGAAAACGAUUUUCUAGUGGUUGGGGAUGAGCUCGCGGCCUAUCAGCUUGUUGGUGGGGUAAUGGCCUACCAAGGCGGCGACGGGUAGCCGGCCUGAGAGGGUGGACGGCCACAUUGGGACUGAGAUACGGCCCAGACUCCUACGGGAGGCAGCAGUGGGGAAUAUUGCACAAUGGGCGGAAGCCUGAUGCAGCGACGCCGCGUGGGGGAUGACGGCCUUCGGGUUGUAAACUCCUUUCGACCGCGAGGAAGCCACCUGGUUGGAAGGGUGGUGACGGUAGUGGUAGAAGAAGCACCGGCUAACUACGUG
RNAcentral lists this ribosomal RNA (494 nucleotides) under uncultured bacterium. RNAcentral's name for it is "partial 16S ribosomal RNA". It matches the Rfam family "Bacterial small subunit ribosomal RNA", at positions 28 to 507 of the family's 1533-position model. The record is from RNAcentral.